GGAAGCAGCUGGUCCCACCAGCCCGCCCCCUGCGCGGCGAGAACAGAACUUACUGUCCCCGAGUCCUCGCUCCGCCUCCGCGUGACGCUACUGCACGAGCCAGAGCUCCAGACACGCGCGGCGCCUCGACAGGGCGGGGCGAGGCCGUCCACGUGACCCAAGAAGGCCCGUCCCCGGGACCGCCUCCAUGGCAUUUGCCGGCAGAUGACCCUGCUUGAUAGAGAUCUCUGGCCAACAGCGCCGAGCCAGCACCUUCAAACUGGAUGAAAUCUUGACCUGAAGGUCCCUUAUGCAAAUAACCCCUGGAAGAUUGCCCCUUGCCAGUCCCUCAGGCCUGUCUGCCAUAUUUGAAACCUGCCGUAAAAACUCCUUACAGUCUCAAGGUGAGAAGGGAUGGUCAGGAAUUACUUUUUAAAUAAGCAUUUUAAUUCUAAGGGUUGAUGUGGUAGCGUUAACCUAUGAUGGCAAAUUCUUUGACACUCCUUCUAUAAGAAGGUGGGGUGUGUGUUCCCUGCCUUUGAGUCUGAGCUGGUUUGUGCCUGCUUCAACCAAGAAAACAAAGGAGGUCAUGCCAGGUGACUUCUGAGUCAAGGUUAUACGAAGCCAGGGGGCUUCUAACUUGUUCACUAGGACACCUGCUUUUGGGAACUUGAGCUGCUUUAUAAGAAGCUUGACUCCUCCGAGGCCACCCUGCAGUGAGAAAACCAAAGCCACAUGGAGGUCCACGUGGAGGUGUUCUGGUCAAUAGUUCCUGAUAAGCCCAGCUUUUGAAUACCCCAGCCCAGGCACCAGACAUAUGAGUGAAGAAGCUCCUAGGUGAUUCCAGCCCCAGCCAUUUCAGUCUUCGCUGCCAAGGCCCCAUGUAUCAUGGAACAGAAACAAGCCAGACUUCUGUACUCUGUUUAAACUUCUGCUCCACAGAAUCCAUCAACAUAAUAAAAUAGUGGUUAUUUUA
Symphalangus syndactylus (siamang) is the source of this 955-nucleotide long non-coding RNA. RefSeq lists it as uncharacterized. The record is from RefSeq and is a predicted model, not a curated record. NCBI's taxonomy places the organism in Eukaryota, Metazoa, Chordata, Mammalia, Primates, Hylobatidae.